Molecule: ribosomal RNA, 582 nt
Filed under: Zonotrichia capensis (rufous-collared sparrow)
Lineage: Eukaryota; Metazoa; Chordata; Aves; Passeriformes; Passerellidae
Description: partial 16S ribosomal RNA
Rfam family: Bacterial large subunit ribosomal RNA
Source: RNAcentral
ACCAAAAAAAGUAUUGAGGUGAUGCCUGCCCGGUGGCUCACGUAGCUCAACGGCCGCGGUAUCCUAACCGUGCAAAGGUAGCGCAAUCAAUUGUCCCGUAAAUCGAGACUAGUAUGAAUGGCUAAACGAGGUCUUAACUGUCUCUUACAGGCAAUCGGUGAAAUUGAUCUCCCUGUACAAAAGCAGGGAUAAACCCAUAAGACGAGAAGACCCUGUGGAACUUCAAAACCAGCAACCACCUUAAAUCACAUACUCACCUACCGGGCUUACUGUCACACAAGAUCCUGGUCUGCGUUUUUCGGUUGGGGCGACCUUGGAGCAAAACAGAACCUCCAAAAAUUGGACCAUACCUCUAGACCAAGAGCAACCUCUCAACGUGCUAAUAGCAUCCAGACCCAAUACAAUUGAUCAAUGGACCAAGCUACCCCAGGGAUAACAGCGCAAUCUCCUCCGAGAGUCCGUAUCGACGAGGAGGUUUACGACCUCGAUGUUGGAUCAGGACAUCCUAGUGGUGCAGCCGCUACUAAGGGUUCGUUUGUUCAACGAUUAACAGUCCUACGUGAUCUGAGUUCCCAAACCGGA